RNAcentral lists this ribosomal RNA (434 nucleotides) under uncultured bacterium. RNAcentral's name for it is "partial 16S ribosomal RNA". It matches the Rfam family "Bacterial small subunit ribosomal RNA", at positions 29 to 507 of the family's 1533-position model. The record is from RNAcentral.
AGCGAACGCUGGCGGCAGGCCUAACACAUGCAAGUCGAACGAACCUUUCGGGGUUAGUGGCGGACGGGUGAGUAACACGUUGGAACGUGCCUUUAGGUUCGGAAUAACUCAGGGAAACUUGUGCUAAUACCGAAUGUGCCCUUCGGGGGAAAGAUUAAUCGCCUUUAGAGCGGCCCGCGUCUGAUUAGCUAGUUGGUUGAGGUAAUGGCUCACCAAGGCGACGAUCAGUAGCUGGUCUGAGAGGAUGAUCAGCCACAUUGGGACUGAGACACGGCCCAAACUCCUACGGGAUGCAGCAGUGGGGAAUCUUGCGCAAUGGGCGAAAGCCUGACGCAGCCAUGCCGCGUGAAUGAUGAAGGUCUUAGGAUUGUAAAAUUCUUUCACCCGUGACGAUAAUGACGGUACCCGGAGAAGAAGCCCCGGCUAACUUCGUG